Molecule: long non-coding RNA, 682 nt
Organism: Oreochromis aureus
Lineage: Eukaryota; Metazoa; Chordata; Actinopteri; Cichliformes; Cichlidae
Source: Ensembl
CAAGAACUUGGCGUAUCUCCAAGCAGCGAAGCAUCUCAAUGCUCGGCAAGCCAGGUCUGUUUUUUACCUGUUUCAAUCUCAUUAUUACAUACAUGCCUGGGUCCCACAACACCAAAGCAGACGCACUGUCACGCCAGUUCGCACCGGAUCCCGAUGAUGAGGGAAUCAGCCCAUCCUCCCGCCUUCGUGUUUUGUUGGAGCUUUAAUGUGGGAGAUAAAGAAGCUCAUAAGGGAGCAGGAACCCGACCCAGGAACAGGCCCAGAGGGCAAGCUGUUUGUCCCUGCAUCAGAGUAGGGUGCUCCAGUGGGCCUACACCGCACAUUUCGGCUGUCAUCUGAAUAAGGCACCGAAUUCGCCUCCUGCUGGCCUCCUGCAACCACUCCCCAUGCCCAAGUGACCCUGGUCGCACAUUGCACUGGACUUUGUCACCGGACUGCCCCCGUCAUCAGGUGAGACCAGUCCGGACCAGCCCGUUGUGCCUGCCCCCUGGGUCCCCACCAUCUCUGACAAGUUUGGAACAAAGAAGGAGAAGGAUUAUGAGCAUGGGGAAAGAGGGAGGGAGGAACGGAGAUUCACUGUCACGCACCACUUGAGCACGGGGAAGAGGACACCAAUGCUCACUUGCACAUUGAACAAUUGUAACCUUUAUCACUGUAAAUAAACGCACUGUUGUUCAUUCAG